GACAGAGAGUGCAAACGUUGUUCGGAAUUACUGGGCGUAAAGCGCGUGUAGGCUGUCUCGCAAGUCGGGUGUGAAAGCCCUGGGCUCAACCUAGGAAGUGCACUCGAAACUGCGAAACUCGAGUCCUGGAGAGGAAGGCGGAAUUCUCGGUGUAGAGGUGAAAUUCGCAGAUAUCAGGAGGAACACCGGUGGCGAAGGCGGAUCUCUGGGCCUGUUCUGACGCUGAGGCGCGAAAGCUAGGGGAGCGAACAGG
This 253-nucleotide ribosomal RNA is filed under the name uncultured bacterium. Its description in RNAcentral is "partial 16S ribosomal RNA". It matches the Rfam family "Bacterial small subunit ribosomal RNA", at positions 524 to 776 of the family's 1533-position model. The record is from RNAcentral.